AUGCUGCUGCUGGCAGCGCUCAUGGCCACAACCGCUUGGAUUUAUGGAGUUGCACAAGAAAUUCCCGUGCAGAGGCCUUUAUCCAUCACGAAGUUCCGAAGAAGUGCACGCAUGUCAUGCGAAAUUCAAUCAUUAGGGGCAAGUUUUGACAGCACCGUCAUACACUGGUAUCAACAGAAAGAGGGAAAAGCUCCAGAGAGGCUCCUGUUUUUUUCAGGGGGGAAAGCUUCGCUUGAAAGUGGCUUUCAAGAAGACAGAUACAUGGUUGAAAAGGUUUCUGGCAAGAACCAGUGUGUUCUUACAAUAAAAGAUGUCAUUCCAGAUGACACCGCUACUUACUACUGUGCCUACUGGGACCCUCACUGUGGUAGAAACGCAAAGAUCGUCGAGGCAAAAAACCUCCCUCAGUGUCUGAACCACAGGCUGCUAACUCUGCCGCUCCCUCCGUCUCCUCGCUCCAUCUGA
Eurypyga helias (sunbittern) is the source of this 465-nucleotide non-coding RNA. The record is from the annotation of a RefSeq genome assembly. Lineage: Eukaryota; Metazoa; Chordata; Aves; Eurypygiformes; Eurypygidae.